AUUGAACGCUGGCGGCAGGCUUAACACAUGCAAGUCGAGCGGGGUGAUGGUGCUUGCACUAUCACUUAGCGGCGGACGGGUGAGUAAUGCUUAGGAAUCUGCCUAUUAGUGGGGGACAACAUCUCGAAAGGGAUGCUAAUACCGCAUACGUCCUACGGGAGAAAGCAGGGGAUCACUUGUGACCUUGCGCUAAUAGAUGAGCCUAAGUCGGAUUAGCUAGUUGGUGGGGUAAAGGCCUACCAAGGCGACGAUCUGUAGCGGGUCUGAGAGGAUGAUCCGCCACAGUGGGACUGAGACACGGCCCAGAAUCCUACGGGAGGCAGCAGUGGGGAAUAUUGGACAAUGGGGGGAACCCUGAUCCAGCCAUGCCGCGUGUGUGAAGAAGGCCUUAUGGUUGUAAAGCACUUUAAGCGAGGAGGAGGCUCUUUUGGUUAAUACCCAAGAUGAGUGGACGUUACUCGCAGAGUAAGCACCGGCUAACUCUGUGCCAGCCGCCGCAGUAA
RNAcentral lists this ribosomal RNA (503 nucleotides) under uncultured bacterium. RNAcentral describes it as "partial 16S ribosomal RNA". It matches the Rfam family "Bacterial small subunit ribosomal RNA", at positions 30 to 523 of the family's 1533-position model. The record is from RNAcentral.